CCUACGGGGGGCAGCAGUGAGGAAUAUUGGUCAAUGGUCGCAAGACUGAACCAGCCAAGCCGCGUGAGGGAUGAAGGUACAGAGUAUCGUAAACUGCUUUUGUCAGGGAACAAACGCGGAUACGCGUCCCCGGCUGAGUGUACCUGAAGAAUAAGCAUCGGCUAACUCCGUGCCAGCAGCCGCGGUAAUACGGAGGAUUCGAGCGUUAUCCGGAUUUAUUGGGUUUAAAGGGGGCGGAGGCGGUCGGAUAAGUUAGAGGUGAAAGCCCGGGGCGUAACUUCGGACUUGCCUUUGAUACUGGUCGGCUAGAGUGGGGGAGCGGUAUGCGGAAUGUGCGGUGUAGCGGUGAAAUGCUUAGAUAUCACGCAGAACACCGAUUGCGAAGGCAGCAUGCCGGGUUCCUACUGACGCUGAGGCACGAAAGCGUGGGGAUCAAACAGGAUUAGAUACCCCAGUAGUC
Molecule: ribosomal RNA, 460 nt
Filed under: uncultured bacterium
Lineage: Bacteria
Description: partial 16S ribosomal RNA
Rfam family: Bacterial small subunit ribosomal RNA
Source: RNAcentral